This 595-nucleotide ribosomal RNA is filed under the name uncultured bacterium. RNAcentral describes it as "bacterial SSU rRNA". It matches the Rfam family "Bacterial small subunit ribosomal RNA", at positions 338 to 945 of the family's 1533-position model. The record is from RNAcentral.
CCUACGGGAGGCAGCAGUAGGGAAUUUUCCACAAUGGGCGAAAGCCUGAUGGAGCAAUACCGCGUGCAGGAUGAAGGCCUUCGGGUCGUAAACUGCUUUUAUGUGCGAAGAAUUUGACGGUAACACAUGAAUAAGGAUCGGCUAACUACGUGCCAGCAGCCGCGGUCAUACGUAGGAUCCAAGCGUUAUCCGGAAUUACUGGGCGUAAAGAGUUGCGUAGGUGGCAUUAUAAGUGGAGCGUGAAAGCGUGCGGCUCAACCGCAUUAUUGCGUUCCAAACUGUGAAGCUUGAGUAUGGGAGAGGUAGAUGGAAUUUCUAGUGUAGGAGUGAAAUCCGUAGAUAUUAGAAGGAACACCGAUGGCGUAGGCAGUCUACUGGCCCAUUACUGACACUAAGGCACGAAAGCGUGGGGAGCAAACGGGAUUAGAUACCCCGGUAGUCCACGCUGUAAACUAUGGAUGCUAGCUGUGACACACAUCGACCUGUGUCGUAGCGAAGUUAACGCGUUAAGCAUCCCGCCUGGGGAAGUACGGUCGCAAGAUUAAAACUCAAAAGGAAUUGACGGCUGAGACGNGCGAGACGACGACGAGGAGAG